This 482-nucleotide ribosomal RNA is filed under the name uncultured bacterium. RNAcentral describes it as "partial 16S ribosomal RNA". It matches the Rfam family "Bacterial small subunit ribosomal RNA", at positions 30 to 507 of the family's 1533-position model. The record is from RNAcentral.
AUUGAACGCUGGCGGCAUGCCUUACACAUGCAAGUCGAACGGUAACAGGUCUUCGGAUGCUGACGAGUGGCGCACGGGUGAGUAAUACAUCGGAACGUGCCCGAUCGUGGGGGAUAACGGAGCGAAAGCUUUGCUAAUACCGCAUACGAUCUACGGAUGAAAGCAGGGGACCGCAAGGCCUUGCGCGGACGGAGCGGCCGAUGGCAGAUUAGGUAGUUGGUGGGAUAAAAGCUUACCAAGCCGACGAUCUGUAGCUGGUCUGAGAGGUCGACCAGCCACACUGGGACUGAGACACGGCCCAGACUCCUACGGGAGGCAGCAGUGGGGAAUUUUGGACAAUGGGCGAAAGCCUGAUCCAGCCAUGCCGCGUGCAGGAUGAAGGCCUUCGGGUUGUAAACUGCUUUUGUACGGAACGAAAAGACUCUUUCUAAUAAAGAGGGUCCAUGACGGUACCGUAAGAAUAAGCACCGGCUAACUACGUG